GGGUUUGGAUUGUUGUACUUUUUUUUUUGUUCGUUGCAUUUUUAGGAACAAAAAAAAAAGCCCAACCCUUCACACCG
RNAcentral lists this microRNA precursor (77 nucleotides) under Sus scrofa (pig). Its description in RNAcentral is "microRNA ssc-mir-3613 precursor". It matches the Rfam family "mir-3613 microRNA precursor family", at positions 6 to 81 of the family's 86-position model. Lineage: Eukaryota; Metazoa; Chordata; Mammalia; Artiodactyla; Suidae. The record is from miRBase by way of RNAcentral.